UGAACGCUGGCGGCGUGCUUAACACAUGCAAGUCGAACGAAGCAUUUAAGACAGAUUACUUCGGUUUGAAGUCUUUUAUGACUGAGUGGCGGACGGGUGAGUAACGCGUGGGUAACCUGCCUCAUACAGGGGGAUAGCAGCUGGAAACGGCUGGUAAUACCGCAUAAGCGCACAGUACCACAUGGUACAGUGUGAAAAACUCCGGUGGUAUGAGAUGGACCCGCGUCUGAUUAGCUUGUUGGCGGGGUAACGGCCCACCAAGGCGACGAUCAGUAGCCGACCUGAGAGGGUGACCGGCCACAUUGGGACUGAGACACGGCCCAGACUCCUACGGGAGGCAGCAGUGGGGAAUAUUGCACAAUGGAGGAAACUCUGAUGCAGCGACGCCGCGUGAGUGAAGAAGUAGUUCGCUAUGUAAAGCUCUAUCAGCAGGGAAGAUAGUGACGGUACCUGACUAAGAAGCUCCGGCUAAAUACGUG
Molecule: ribosomal RNA, 479 nt
Filed under: uncultured bacterium
Lineage: Bacteria
Description: partial 16S ribosomal RNA
Rfam family: Bacterial small subunit ribosomal RNA
Source: RNAcentral